GGUAUAUCUCACAAUUCAAAGGAUUGAUUGCUGUGAUUAACAAUUGAAAGUGAAGAGACAAAAAGAGGAUUAGGCUAAGAGAAGAGAUGCUGGUUCAAUUCCAAACUGGAACACUAUUCGGUUAUUUGAUCAUAACUGGAGUUGUAGAACUCGGAUUUGGGUCCACUUUAUAUGGAUGGAAAGAUAAGACAUAGACCUAAAACUUUCAUGAAGGGUCCAAAACUCAAUUCUGCCGUUUCCAAGUUCAAAUAUUAGCAACAACGGAGAAGUCGGAACCUGUCCUGCAGCUCAAACACUGUUCGGUUUUCAGCUCAUAUCUUGAGUUCUAGAAGUCCAAAUGAGCUCUGGUUUUUUUUGUUGGAAAGCUGAGACAAUUGCCCACAGCUUUCAUGGAACAAAGGGCUCAAAUUCUGAUGUUAGCAAUGAUGUUUUGGCCAGCCAACAAUAUCAAAAAUCUGCCAACAAUUUCAAGAACCAGCAGCCAAUAAUGUCAAAAACCAGCCACCAAAUCAAUGGUUGGCCACCAACUAUUUUCUUAGUCCACCAAUCAAUAGUUCUGAAUCUUAGCCUAUAAAAGGAGGCAUUUGCCAUGUAUUUAGAUAUAUUAUUUUUCAGAUCAAAAUCAUGUUCUUGUUUUCUCUCUUUAUAUCUUUGUAAUGUUCAAGUUUUCUUUCAUGUUAUAUUAA
RNAcentral lists this long non-coding RNA (686 nucleotides) under Populus trichocarpa (black cottonwood). Its description in RNAcentral is "long non-coding RNA (PTRI_LNC004776)". The record is from RNAcentral. Lineage: Eukaryota; Viridiplantae; Streptophyta; Magnoliopsida; Malpighiales; Salicaceae.